Molecule: long non-coding RNA, 6394 nt
Filed under: Sus scrofa (pig)
Lineage: Eukaryota; Metazoa; Chordata; Mammalia; Artiodactyla; Suidae
Description: lncRNA (ENSSSCG00000052891.1)
Source: RNAcentral
CUUCUUUGGAUAUAAUAUUUCAAUUUACUAAGUUAAUUUAACUCUCUCUUCCACAGGUUGAACAAACUGUAUACCAUCACCCCAGGCUAAUACUCACAUGUGCAAUAUCACUGUAUGUCAGUCACUCUAUUCAUGCUUUACUUCUGCUGUGAAUCCAAGACAAUUAAGGCGCACGAAGAGGCCUUUGGUCCAGAUUGAAAGGACUGAUUAUUUUCUGUGUGCAUAUUUCUGGGAUGGACUGAGCUAUAAGAAGAUAGACACAGAGCCUUUCUCCUGCUCCCCUGGACCCUUCCGGAAUUAGGCAUCCCACAGUGAUUCAUCUGACAGAAAGGAGCCAUCAGUAUGACUCACACCACAGUGAACAUUUUCAGUGCCUCUGGGAAAGAACAAGUAGGUCUUAAUGGAAACUAUCGAAGCAACAGCAGCAGCUGGCGUAUAAGCAGAUGACAGUAGGGAAAUAUAUUUUUUAUAUAUAGUCAAUAUGUCUGGUUGAAAAAUAUAUGUAUAUAAAUGGAAGAAUAUGCAUAUAGAAACCCCAAAGGAGUAUGAAAUACACGUUUGUUUCUGAUCAGCUAACAUUACCAAUUUAGUAUACUGAUUUGUCUGUGUUUCCAUACAUAGUUGGGUUUAGUGAAUUUUCUCUCAAAGUAAAAAAAAAAAAAAAUGUUUUUACUGAAACAAUUUUAUUAUUGCUAUUUUACCAUAACAUCAAAUUAUUACAUUGCAGUAUUUUCCCUCUUUUAAUUUCCCUUUGAUGGUCCUAUUACCAGAGACUUAUAUCCAGAAAUAACAAGGUAAUGGGAACUCAAACUUAUUGAUUCUGAGCAAUUAUCAAAUACUGCAAAGUUAACAUAGUCAUGACAGGUAAGAAAUGAAUCUACCCGACAAUCCCAAAUGUAGUGAACUUUUAAAAUACUCUUUCUUAAAGUGAAAAAUAAGUUUUAGAGUGUCAUUACUCAAGAUUUUUAAAAAUCCUGAUUAAGUAUAUCAUGUAAAUUAGAGAUGAUUCAAAAUAGGUCUCAAAAUUCUUCCAGCAAAAUUUCUGUCAUUGUCUAAUACGGCCCAGCCAAUUAAUUGGCUGCCAUAGGAAAGUACAGGUUAAAAUGUUUUACUAAGAAUGAAAACUUUUGUGAUGAGCCAGAAAAACUAAACAAGAUAAGUUUAUGGUGCUAAAACCUUGGUGUGAAGGUGUGGUGAUUCUCCAAGUUUCUAACAUAGGACUAGACAAAACACUUGGAGAAAUAGAAUACAGACCUCUUCCAAGAAAAGACUGUGUCCUGACCAGCACCACCAGCAAUCCUAAGUGCCUUUGUUUCGGAUUUAUUUAAUUAAGGAAAAUUCUUAUUGAAGUGUGAGGACCAAUUGCUUCCAUUGAAAAUUGUAGAUAAAAUGGAAAGGAUUGUGCAUAGACCUCUGUAUGAAAAUUAUUAUUUGCUCCCAGUGACCUCAUGUAGCUGUUCUUGGACUAACUGGGAAUGUCUCAGUUAUACCCAUGUAUCUGAUUCACAUUCAGAUUAAUCCUGCUGUUGUGAUUUAUGAUGCGCUCGGUUUCAUAUUUACUGCUAGCUCAAACUAAUAAGCUCUCCCUGGACCGGUGCCAUGACACAAGGUCAACGCCUAGUUAAUCACACCAUUGUUUUUCCAUCCAUGUUGCCCUCCAAAUUAUCUACAACGGUAAUUGAUUAAAAGCACACCUUGGGUGAUAUUUUUCAAAAAAGAACAAAUUCAAUUUUUUUUUUUAAAGCUCGUUUUAGGUUUUUACAGGACUCUUUUUGAACAUCUUAAAUCUUUGUAUUAAAUAGAUUUUGCAUUCAUCAAAAUAUAUAUGUUUAGAAUUAGCAUUAAUCACCAUUAAAAUCUCUUUUGAGGCUCCAUUUUUAAACCUACAGUACUUUGAGUUCCAUAUGUGAGCAAAAACUAGGUCAUACCAUCCCAUAAAGAGAAAUGGAAGUAUAUUGACAGUUUUAUUUUGAUGUAUUACAUCAUAUGACAUAAAUCCAUUGUUUUCUACAUUUUUAUUCGGAGUAACAGUUUUUUGUAAAUCACAUUAAAAUGCUCAAGAUAAAGGUAUUAAAGCAUAAGGCAUUAUAUGCACCACUGAUUUUUCAGUGCUGGGACUAACUUUUAUUAAAUCUCUCCAUAUUUAUCAGGCAUUGUGUUUUGGAUUUUUUUUCCCCCUUAAAAACACCUUAUCUUAUUUUACAGUUUCUACUAUCCAUAAGGGAUGCUAUUCAGCAGACCUUAAAAGGAGAGAGUCACUUUUGGACUCAUCUUUUCUACGUAAUCUAAAUCAUACCAAAUGCUUUGGACGUAUAUUAAAAAAAGGUAAAGAUAGUGCCAAAAUAUUAAACCAGGAGGGAAAAGGCUUUUGUAUCUAUUUCUGAUUUUGUGCAUCCUGGCCUUAGAAGAGCUGUUUUGCUUUUCUGUCUUAUGUUCCUUGGAGUAAAUAUGACCUCUGUGUACCGACAACCACAAACAUAUUAGAAGUUUUAGCCACUGGUUGCCAGAAGCAAUCAGAUCCAUGAAUAUUGUGUGGUUUGUUUACUAAAUUUAUACUGGUUACAAAGCACGUAAUUAAAAGGGCAAAAAGAAAAAAAAAUCCAUAUUUUAUUGGCUUAGGGGUUUUCAGGAAAGCCUUGAGCAAAUAGUUUUUAAAUCAAAGUAAAGAAAUUCUUUUUGGAAAAGAGAUCAAGCAUGGGGAAGAUGUGAGAGAAAUUAAAAAGCGCAAAUAGAGAAGCCCAUCUAUCAAGGCAGUGCUAUAAAAUUCCAUUAGUAAUGCAAUAAUGGCUUCAGUAUUUGCCUUCAUUCUUUCCUUUUUCUGCAUUAUGUCCAAAUUCUCAUUCACUCUCCUUAUCUUUGUAAGGGAUGAAGUGGUAACUAUUAGCUUUGGGCUUGGCCAGUAAUCAUAGGUAAAUUCUGAUUACUGGUAUCAAUGGCUACUUUCUCCUGCUUGACUUUGUAGUGUCCGCACAAGAAGAGUUAAAACGAUGACUAAAAUUAUUAUAUGUGAAUGGCUUUGUGUACUGGUUAUUGCCAUUUCCACAGCAAACCUAUUUCAUAUUAUAAAACCAUGUCUGGAAUUUCAUAAUAUAUAACCACAAAUACUACCAUUGUAUCCCAUCCUUCUUUCUCUUUUUGGUAAGUUCUUGGUUAGCUCCUCAUCAUCACUGAGAACUAGGCAAAUGCCUCUCCAACCUUUCAUCCUUCACCUUAGUCCUACAGUUAUUCUGAAAAAUCUGUUUUGUUUGUUUUGUUUUGUUUUUUGUCUUUUGUCUUUUUAGGGCCACACCUGCAGCAUAUGGAGGUUCCCAGGCUAGGGGCUGAAUCGGAGCUACAGCUGCCGGCCUAUUCCAGAGCCACAGCAAUGCCAGAUUUGAGCCGCGUCUGUGACCUACACCACAGCUCACAGCAACGCUAGAUCCUUAACCCACUGAGCAAGGCCAGGGAUCGAACCUGCAACCUCAUGAUUCCUCGUUGGAUUCAUUUCCGCUGCACCACAACAGGAACUCCUGAAAAAUCUUAAUUUACCAUUUGGGUCAUCCAGUUAAGACCCUGAUUAUUUCAUCUUGGAGAAGUAUUACCUAGGGAAUAAAGUUUCAGUACUGGGUUCUAAGAUGAGUUCUUCUGUUAAUUCUAUGGAUUGCUUGAUAUUUGGGGACUUCAGUUAUUUUUUUAAUGAAUAAAGAGAAGUCAAAUUGGGUUAAAUAAUUGUUAAAGUCCAGUUAAUUUAAAAUUGUGCUAAUAACCCUCCUUGUCAAAACUUUUCUUCAUCAUUUUAUCUCUGAUUUGGAACCUGGCCAUAGCAUUCAUAUCCAUCCUCACCCAUAUUAAAAACGUAGAAUCUUGAGAGUUUCUGUUGUGUCUCAGUGGUAAUGAACCCGACUAGUAUCCAUGAGAAUACAGGUUUGAUUCCUGGCCUCCCUCAUUGGGUUAAGUAUCCAACAGACAUUGCCAUGAGUUGGGGUACAGAUCAUAGACCCGGCUCGGAUCCUGCAUUGCUAUGGCUGUGGCUGUGGCCGGCAGGUGCAGCUCUGAUUCGACCCCUAGCUUAGGAACUUCCAUAAGCUGCUGGUGUGGCCCUAAAAAGCCAAAUAAAUAAAUAAAUAAGAAUGUAGAAUCAUCCAUUCUCAUUUUCUAUGAUAAAUUCAUCCCUAAUUUGGCAGCAUUUACUUUCAAGUAUACCUGGUAUCUCUGCCUAAAGUAAUUAUGAGACUCUCUCUCACACUUGGAUCCACUGAAGGGACACAGCUCCCUUUUGUGUCCCUGGCUAGCUCUGAGGAAUACACUAAUACUCAGUGACCAACUGACCUACUGUCCACCACCAGCAAGCCAUUCACUGAGAGGGUCUAUCUUUAAGAGUCAGAGGCAUGCCAACAUAACUUCUGACUUUCAAAGCUGCCCUAACAUCUCACAUCUAAAUGUCAUUACUCAAUCCGACUUCCAGAGGGCAGCUGAAAUAACAGCUUUUUCCUCCUAAGCUCUGAUGAAUUCAACCAACAGUGAAUAUUCAAAUGAUCCCUCGGGUUUUGUUACAAAAUUCAAGAAUGUUUAGCCAACAUGGCUCAAAGAUCACUCUUUCAUGAAUCUUGUCCAACCCUAGGAAUCUCUAAGCUUUACUUCACUGGUCUUAAGCAAAUCACUGCAACAGAACCUGUAUGACAGCAUAACUCAAACAGUUUUCUUCUUUGUUUAGUGAAGAAUCAUUUUAAUUCAACAAGUCUGGAGUUCUUAGACUUACUCUACAACAUCAGAGCCCAGCAGAGAACUGGACAUAACGAUGGCUCGAUCCACUGAUAAGGCCUCAGGCCAGACUGUAGAAUCAGUCAGCCAGCAGAACAUCCCAGCCGCUGAAACUUUCUAUUUUUUGCCAUUAAAAAUCUCGUUCAAACCAAAUAAUUUUUACCAGGCAUUGGCAUGGUUCUUUCUGCCAGCUUCUCAAGUUUCUGUUAGCAAUUAGCUUGUAUCAGUGGUUCCAAAGCCUGUUUAUGUGAAAAUCCCAUAACAAUUUCCAAGUCCCCAGGGAUCCAGUUUCACUCAUGGAACUAGAAACUUGGAUUAAUCAAUCUUCUCCACACUUCCAGAAGUGACUCUUACUCUUUAAGGGACAGAGGCUCCUUAGAGGUUGGGUUAAACACUCCCAGGCAGCAAAGGCAGGAACGAGUUUUUGAAAAUUUCUUCUCUCUGGUGAACACAUAUACAAAUCCCUAAGAUCAGUUUUCUCUAUAAAAUACAGUUCCAAAUAGCACACUCUCACUUGUACAGCAAUUCUGACUUCAGUGUAAACUCUAUUAUGUCUUCUUUUAAAUAUGUGUAUAUGCUUUGUUUAUACUUUUGUUUUUUGAAGAAGGUCAUGAUUCCUGAAAUUUGUCAACCUUACCCACUCCUUUUCUUUUACAGUAUUUUUCCAAUAAUCUGAAAGUCGUGAAAAAAGUGCCCUUUAUUGAAGACCGGGGGUGUAAUAAUUUGAAUCGGAGAUAACAUGAUAAUUUCACCUUAAGUUUAUUUUACCAGAGGUAAGGCCUCACUACCUACCCAGAUAUAACUGGAGGGUCAUGGUUGUUGAGUAGCCUUGCUUUCAAAGGAAUGCGGUCUGUCAAACAAAAAUGAAAACUAAAUUUAUCAUUUUUUUAAUCUCAAGGAAAUAAUAAAGGAUCAAUUAAGUACAUUCAUGUGCAAUAAUAAUGCACAGAACGUCAUUUCUCUCCAUCACUGUCUCCCUCAAAUGUUGAAAUUCUGAAAUUCUCUUACCUACAUUCCAGUCUCAAUGAAAAGAUUUUUACCUUCAACCUAUGUAUUCUAGCCUUCAUUCUCCUCUGUUUCAGUUCUUGCUCAGUCUGUUCUAAGUCAGAAGUGGGAUGGCUGGAUCCUAUGGUAGUAAUAUUCUUGAUUUUUAGAGUAAAAUCACCGUACUGCUUUCCAUAAUGGCUGCAUAAUUUUAUAUUCCCACAAAUAGUGCAUAAGGAUUCUCUCUUAUCCACACCCUUGCAGAUACUUGCUAUUGAUUGUCUUUUUGAUAAUAGCAUUAUUCUAUCACAAUCCUCCAAUGGCCCCUAAAGAUCCACAUAUAUUCCACAUGCAAAAAAUAAUUACUCCAUCUUAACAUCCUCCCAAAGUCCAAAAUCUUAUCUCUAUCUCAUCAUCACAAAAAUCCCAAAUUUCAUCAUCUAAAAGAAGUAUGGAUGAGGCUCUGGGUAUAAUUUAUCCUGAGGUACAAUUUUUUUCUCCCUGUGAAAUUCUAGGUAUAAGUUAUCUUCUCUAAAAAUACAGAAGUGAAAAAGGCAUAGAAUAACAAUUAUAGAUAUUCCUAUUCAAAAUGGGGAAAAAUGGGACUGAAAAAUGGAUUCACCAGCGCCAAGCAAUUUCAAAGUCCAAUUAAACACAUCACAUUUGGUUG